Long non-coding RNA from Chelonoidis abingdonii (Abingdon island giant tortoise), 359 nucleotides. RefSeq lists it as uncharacterized. NCBI's taxonomy places the organism in Eukaryota, Metazoa, Chordata, Testudines, Testudinidae. The record is from RefSeq and is a predicted model, not a curated record.
GUGUCUGUGUCAUCUCCACGGAUGAAGGCAUGUGGUAUUUAAGUUUUGGCAUCAGAGCUAUCUCAUUCAUGAAUCUUUGGAUAGCUAAUCACACCCCUACACUUAGUAAACAUGUGUUGCUUUGUCAGAUCAAGGCUUGGAAUCAACACGAUUUUGGCUGCUAUCUGCUGACUACAGCAACAAAUGAAUUCCCCUUGUACAGGUCUUUGGACUCUUCCUGCUCUGGAGAAAGAAGUGCUACGCAAUGGCUCUCACUCCAACUACACCCCAAUGAAGCAGACAGGCAAGGCCGCGUCCACUACUGUGCAAUCUCUAUUGCCAGCCCCCGCACCUAAAGAUAUUACUGCAAGUCAUCAAAC